RNAcentral lists this long non-coding RNA (502 nucleotides) under Ananas comosus (pineapple). RNAcentral's name for it is "long non-coding RNA (ACOM_LNC014689)". The record is from RNAcentral. Lineage: Eukaryota; Viridiplantae; Streptophyta; Magnoliopsida; Poales; Bromeliaceae.
GGAAUUGCAAUUGGAAUAGAAACGGUAAUGAAUCAGAAGAAGAAAUGGACUGAUAAACGCUUCAAUUUGUUUGGUUCAUAAGAAAAAUCGGAAGGAAUUAUGUUCAAAUUAAAAAUCAAAAACUUAAAUUUACUACUUAAAUUCGUAUCAAAAUUUGAAUGCAAAGAUGAACUCUCAAUUUAUUUAAUUUACAAUUCAAAUUCAUGUUCAAAAUUAAAAUUUGAAUUUAAAACUAAAUUCAAAUGCCAAACUUAUAUUAUAAUUUAAACCUAAACUUAAGAUACANUUUACAAUUCAAAUUCAUGUUCAAAAUUAAAAUUUGAAUUUAAAACUAAAUUCAAAUGCCAAACUUAUAUUAUAAUUUAAACCUAAACUUAAGAUACAAAAUUAAAACUUUGAAUUCAUAAUUCAAAUUCAAAUAUAAAAUUAUAAUUAAAAAUUAAACAUAUAUUAAUAUUUAAAUUUAAAUAAUUUUCAGUGAAAAAAAGAAUUUUUUUCACUA